GUUUCUGUACUAUAUUG
Molecule: unclassified non-coding RNA, 17 nt
Filed under: Trypanosoma cruzi
Lineage: Eukaryota; Euglenozoa; Kinetoplastea; Trypanosomatida; Trypanosomatidae
Description: spliced leader sequence
Source: RNAcentral